CGCGGUAUUUUGACUGUGCGAAGGUAGCAUAAUCAUUUGUCUUUUAAUUGAAGACUUGUAUGAAUGGCUGAACGAGAAAAUAACUGUCUCUUUAAAAAAUUUUGAAUUUUACUUUUAAGUGAAAAGGCUUAAAUAAUUUUAAGGGACGAUAAGACCCUAUAAAUCUUUAUAUUAUUUUUCUUUAACUUUCAAAUUAUAUAUUAAAAGAAAUAAAAGAAAAAAAUAUUAUAUUGGGGAGAUAAAAAUAUAAUUUUUAACUGUUUUAAAUAUAAAACAAUAAUUUUUGAUUUAUUAAAAAUUGAUCCUUUUUAAAGAUUUUAAGAUUAAGUUACUUUAGGGAUAACAGCGUAAUUUUUUUUGAGAGUUCUUAUCGAAAAAAAAGUUUGCGACCUCGAUGUUGAAUUAAAAAUAUCCUUAUAAGUGCAGAAGCUAUAAAGGAAAGUCUGUUCGACUUUUAAAAUUUUACAU
RNAcentral lists this ribosomal RNA (468 nucleotides) under Aegla parana. RNAcentral's name for it is "partial 16S large subunit ribosomal RNA". It matches the Rfam family "Bacterial large subunit ribosomal RNA", at positions 1932 to 2601 of the family's 2925-position model. Lineage: Eukaryota; Metazoa; Arthropoda; Malacostraca; Decapoda; Aeglidae. The record is from RNAcentral.